AGCGAACGCUGGCGGCAGGCCUAACACAUGCAAGUCGAACGAACUCUUCGGAGUUAGUGGCGGACGGGUGAGUAACACGUGGGAACGUGCCUUUAGGUUCGGAAUAACUCAGGGAAACUUGUGCUAAUACCGAAUGUGCCCUUCGGGGGAAAGAUUUAUCGCCUUUAGAGCGGCCCGCGUCUGAUUAGCUAGUUGGUGAGGUAAAGGCUCACCAAGGCGACGAUCAGUAGCUGGUCUGAGAGGAUGAUCAGCCACAUUGGGACUGAGACACGGCCCAAACUCCUACGGGAGGCAGCAGUGGGGGAUCUUGCGCAAUGGGCGAAAGCCUGACGCAGCCAUGCCGCGUGAAUGAUGAAGGUCUUAGGAUUGUAAAAUUCGUUCACCGGGGACGAUAAUGACGGUACCCGGAGAAGAAGCCCCGGCUAACUUCGUGCCAGCCGCCGCAGUAA
RNAcentral lists this ribosomal RNA (449 nucleotides) under uncultured bacterium. RNAcentral's name for it is "partial 16S ribosomal RNA". It matches the Rfam family "Bacterial small subunit ribosomal RNA", at positions 29 to 523 of the family's 1533-position model. The record is from RNAcentral.